Molecule: ribosomal RNA, 956 nt
Filed under: Aspergillus versicolor
Lineage: Eukaryota; Fungi; Ascomycota; Eurotiomycetes; Eurotiales; Aspergillaceae
Description: eukaryotic LSU rRNA
Rfam family: 5.8S ribosomal RNA (bases 161-314)
Source: RNAcentral
GAAUUUUGAGUGCGGCUGCCUUCGGGCGCCCAACCUCCCACCCGUGACUACCUAACACUGUUGCUUCGGCGGGGAGCCCUCUCGGGGGCGAGCCGCCGGGGACUACUGAACUUCAUGCCUGAGAGUGAUGCAGUCUGAGUCUGAAUAUAAAAUCAGUCAAAACUUUCAACAAUGGAUCUCUUGGUUCCGGCAUCGAUGAAGAACGCAGCGAACUGCGAUAAGUAAUGUGAAUUGCAGAAUUCAGUGAAUCAUCGAGUCUUUGAACGCACAUUGCGCCCCCUGGCAUUCCGGGGGGCAUGCCUGUCCGAGCGUCAUUGCUGCCCAUCAAGCCCGGCUUGUGUGUUGGGUCGUCGUCCCCCCCGGGGGACGGGCCCGAAAGGCAGCGGCGGCACCGUGUCCGGUCCUCGAGCGUAUGGGGCUUUGUCACCCGCUCGAUUUAGGGCCGGCCGGGCGCCAGCCGACGUCCAACCAUUUUUCUUCAGGUUGACCUCGGAUCAGGUAGGGAUACCCGCUGAACUUAAGCAUAUCAACGGGGGAAGAAAAAACAUUACUGAGUGCGGGCUGCCUUCGGGCGCCCAACCUCCACCGUGACUACUAACACUGUUGCUUGGGGGGAGCCUCUGGGGGCGAGCGCGGGACUACUGAACUUCAUGCUGAGAGUGAUGCAUCUGAGUCUGAAUAUAAAAUCAGUCAAACUUUCACAAUGGAUCUCUUGGUUCCGCAUCGAUGAAGAACGCAGCGACUGCGAUAAGUAAUGUGAAUGCAGAAUCAGUGAUCAUCAGUCUUUGACGCACAUGCGCCCCUGCAUCGGGGGCAUGCUGUCAGCUCAUUGCUGCCAUCAGCCGCUUGUGUGUUGGUCUCCUCCCCAGGGACGUGAUGCACCGCGACUGUCGUCUCACGUGGCUUGACCCUCAUAGCGCGGCAGCAUCACUUUCUGGUACGAGUGUCCUACUAGC